RNAcentral lists this ribosomal RNA (322 nucleotides) under Pseudomonas baetica. RNAcentral's name for it is "bacterial LSU rRNA". It matches the Rfam family "Bacterial large subunit ribosomal RNA", at positions 26 to 390 of the family's 2925-position model. The record is from RNAcentral. Lineage: Bacteria; Pseudomonadati; Pseudomonadota; Gammaproteobacteria; Pseudomonadales; Pseudomonadaceae.
GGAUGCCUUGGCAGUCAGAGGCGAUGAAAGACGUGGUAGCCUGCGAAAAGCUUCGGGGAGUCGGCAAACAGACUUUGAUCCGGAGAUGUCUGAAUGGGGGAACCCAGCCAUCAUAAGAUGGUUAUCUUGUACUGAAUACAUAGGUGCAAGAGGCGAMCCAGGGGAACUGAAACAUCUAAGUACCCUGAGGAAAAGAAAUCAACCGAGAUUCCCUUAGUAGYGGCGAGCGAACGGGGACUAGCCCUUAAGUGGCUUUGAGAUUAGCGGAACGCUCUGGAAAGUGCGUCCAUAGUGGGUGAUAGCCCUGUACGCGAAAAUCUCU